Molecule: ribosomal RNA, 301 nt
Filed under: uncultured bacterium
Lineage: Bacteria
Description: partial 16S ribosomal RNA
Rfam family: Bacterial small subunit ribosomal RNA
Source: RNAcentral
CAGUAGCCGCGGUAAAACGGAGGGUGCAAGCGUUAAUCGGAAUUACUGGGCGUAAAGCGUACGUAGGCGGUUUGUUAAGUCAGAUGUGAAAUCCCCGAGCUUAACUCGGGAACUGCAUUUGAAACUGGCAGGCUAGAGUCUCGUAGAGGGGGGUAGAAUUCCAGGUGUAGCGGUGAAAUGCGUAGAUAUGUGGAGGAAUACCGAUGGCGAAGGCAGCCCCCUGGGAUAACACUGACGCUCAGGCACGAAAGCGUGGGGAGCAAACAGGAUUAGAUACCCGUGUAGUCCCUGUCUCUUAUAA